UACGUAGGGUGCGAGCGUUAAUCGGAAUUACUGGGCGUAAAGCGUGCGUAGGCGGUUCGUUAAGUCAGCUGUGAAAGCCCCGGGCUCAACCUGGGAACUGCGGUUGAAACUGGCGAACUAGAAUCUGGCAGAGGGGGGUGGAAUUCCACGUGUAGCAGUGAAAUGCGUAGAGAUGUGGAGGAACACCGAUGGCGAAGGCAGCCCCCUGGGCUGAGAUUGACGCUCAGGCACGAAAGCGUGGGGAUCAAACAGG
This 253-nucleotide ribosomal RNA is filed under the name uncultured bacterium. RNAcentral describes it as "partial 16S ribosomal RNA". It matches the Rfam family "Bacterial small subunit ribosomal RNA", at positions 524 to 776 of the family's 1533-position model. The record is from RNAcentral.